GCGGUAGCAGGGAGAAAGCUUGCUUUCUCCGCUGACGAGCGGCGGACGGGUGAGUAAUGUCUGGGGAUCUGCCUGAUGGAGGGGGAUAACUACUGGAAACGGUAGCUAAUACCGCAUAACGUCGCAAGACCAAAGUGGGGGACCUUCGGGCCUCAUGCCAUCAGAUGAACCCAGAUGGGAUUAGCUAGUAGGUGGGGUAAUGGCUCACCUAGGCGACGAUCCCUAGCUGGUCUGAGAGGAUGACCAGCCACACUGGAACUGAGACACGGUCCAGACUCCUACGGGAGGCAGCAGUGGGGAAUAUUGCACAAUGGGCGCAAGCCUGAUGCAGCCAUGCCGCGUGUAUGAAGAAGGCCUUCGGGUUGUAAAGUACUUUCAGUAGGGAGGAAGGUGUGAGCGUUAAUAG
This 406-nucleotide ribosomal RNA is filed under the name Edwardsiella ictaluri. RNAcentral's name for it is "bacterial SSU rRNA". It matches the Rfam family "Bacterial small subunit ribosomal RNA", at positions 66 to 465 of the family's 1533-position model. Lineage: Bacteria; Pseudomonadati; Pseudomonadota; Gammaproteobacteria; Enterobacterales; Hafniaceae. The record is from RNAcentral.